UGGAAACCCUUGAGGGGAAACCCAUUCCCCAGACUUGGAACGCCGACAACUUGAAGCUGUAUUACCAGUAAAUUCUGUAAUUCAAUCGUCGGAAUACAAGUUCAGUUUGAAAAAUCGGAGUUCUAACUCUUCGACUACUGAUCGGCGCUCAGCCCCGACGCAUCGACGCGGACCUGGCACCGACGACACAUCGGCCCCUUACACGGACCGAUGCAUCUACGAUGACGGGAGUUCAUACUCCUUCUACGGUCGAAUUUUCGGGCAGAAUCCAUCGGCCGACUAGCCGAUCGGGCCCCGACCGAAGAAAGGCUAAAAGCCCACGCGGCUAUUGCCGCGACUUCCGACCAGGCUAUGGCCGGUCGAGGGAUAUUCGGCUUACCACCGUCUAUCACAUGAUGCGACCUUAGUCGCACCCACUACUCGCCGACCGACUUACGGCCGGCUGAACGACACUCGGCUUGCCACCGUCUGUCAAAAGACAUGAAACCCGACGCAAGAGCAUGGAGACCCGACUUACUAUCAUGCCCCCGACACUGCGCCGGACGAUGAUCGACUAAGUGCAUCUACGGAGGUCCGGCUGUCGAACCUUUACCAGGUUCGGUCGGCUCCCGACUUAACAGAUGCGCCCGAACGGCGACUACAAUUAUUGGAAACUGACCUAAAAUCGGGACACAAGCUACUUCGGAGCUGUGCAAGCCGGUUAAGUCCUACCGACUUACCCGAGUUGGCGACUUCUCUAAGUUGGUGACUAGGGUUCGACAUUACAGCGAUAAGAAACAUUUCAAACAAAAGACACAAGAAAAAAUAAUUUCAUUCAUUGAUCAAAGGAAAUUACAAAGUCGGGCCGAAGCCCGAUUACAUGUAUUUUCAAGAAGAAACAAAAGGAAGAUGGUCGG
Molecule: long non-coding RNA, 896 nt
Filed under: Elaeis guineensis (African oil palm)
Lineage: Eukaryota; Viridiplantae; Streptophyta; Magnoliopsida; Arecales; Arecaceae
Description: long non-coding RNA (EGUI_LNC011092)
Source: RNAcentral